RNAcentral lists this non-coding RNA (21 nucleotides) under Caenorhabditis elegans. The record is from RNAcentral. Lineage: Eukaryota; Metazoa; Nematoda; Chromadorea; Rhabditida; Rhabditidae.
UUGUAACCGGUCUUUUUCCAU